This 250-nucleotide ribosomal RNA is filed under the name uncultured bacterium. Its description in RNAcentral is "partial 16S ribosomal RNA". It matches the Rfam family "Bacterial small subunit ribosomal RNA", at positions 524 to 772 of the family's 1533-position model. The record is from RNAcentral.
GACGUAGGGGGCGAGCGUUGUCCGGAUUUACUGGGCGUAAAGAGCGCGUAGGCGGUCUGUUAAGUCAGAAGUGAAAUCUCCAGGGCUCAACCCGGAAACUGCUUUUGAUACUGAUAGACUUGAGUGUCGGAGAGGUAACUGGAAUUCCUGGUGUAGCGGUGACAUGCAUUGAUAUCAGGAGGAACACCCAUGGCGAAGGCAGGUUACUGGCCGACAACUGACGCUGAGGCGCGAAAGCGUGGGUAGCAAA